This 465-nucleotide ribosomal RNA is filed under the name uncultured bacterium. Its description in RNAcentral is "partial 16S ribosomal RNA". It matches the Rfam family "Bacterial small subunit ribosomal RNA", at positions 28 to 507 of the family's 1533-position model. The record is from RNAcentral.
GACGAACGCUGGCGGCGUGCUUAACACAUGCAAGUCGAACGGAAAGGCCCUGCUUGCAGGGUACUCGAGUGGCGAACGGGUGAGUAACACGUGGGUGAUCUGCCCUGCACUUCGGGAUAAGCCUGGGAAACUGGGUCUAAUACCGGAUAGGAGCCAUUUUUAGUGUGAUGGUUGGAAAGUUUUUUCGGUGUAGGAUGAGCUCGCGGCCUAUCAGCUUGUUGGUGGGGUAAUGGCCUACCAAGGCGGCGACGGGUAGCCGGCCUGAGAGGGUGGACGGCCACAUUGGGACUGAGAGACGGCCCAGACUCCUACGGGAGGCAGCAGGGGGGAAUAUUGCACAAUGGGCGCAAGCCGGAUGCAGCGACGCCGCGUGGGGGAGGACGGCCUUCGGGUUGUAAACUCCUUUCGCUAGGGACGAAGCUUUUUGUGACGGUACCUAGAUAAGAAGCACCGGCUAACUACGUG